RNAcentral lists this ribosomal RNA (253 nucleotides) under uncultured bacterium. RNAcentral describes it as "partial 16S ribosomal RNA". It matches the Rfam family "Bacterial small subunit ribosomal RNA", at positions 524 to 776 of the family's 1533-position model. The record is from RNAcentral.
UACGUAGGGGGCAAGCGUUAUCCGGAUUUACUGGGUGUAAAGGGGGCGCAGACGGCAAUGCAAGCCAGGAGUGAAAGCCCGGGGCCCAACCCCGGGACUGCUCUUGGAACUGCAUGGCUGGAGUACAGGAGGGGCAGGCGGAAUUCCUAGUGUAGCGGUGAAAUGCGUAGAUAUAUGGAAGAACACCAGUGGCGAAAGCGGCUCUCUGGUCUGUAACUGACGCUGAGGUUCGAAAGCGUGGGUAGCAAACAGG